Molecule: long non-coding RNA, 4514 nt
Filed under: Canis lupus familiaris (dog)
Lineage: Eukaryota; Metazoa; Chordata; Mammalia; Carnivora; Canidae
Description: lncRNA (ENSCAFG00845023543.1)
Source: RNAcentral
UUUUUUUUUUCUUUUUUUCUUUUUUUUUAAUGUAAGAGGGAUUCUGCUUUUGGGGCAUCUGGGUGGCUCAGUUGGUUAAACACCUGCCUUCGGAUCCCUGGGUGGCUCAGCAGUUUAGCGCCUGCCUUCGGCCCAGGGCGCAGUCCCGGAGUCCUGGGAUCGAGUGCUGCAUCAGGCUCCCUGCAUGGAGCCUGCUUCUCCCUCUGCCUGUGUCUCUGCCUCUCUCUCUCUCUCUCUCUCUCUCUCUCACUCUCUCAUGAAUUAAUAAAUAAAAUCUUUUUACAAAAUAAAAAUAAAUAAUAAAUACCUGCCUUUGGCUCAGUUCCUGGGACUGAGUCCUGCAUCCAGCAGGGAGCCUGCUUUGCCCUCUCCCACUUCCACUAUACAUGCACACUCUCUGUCAAAUAAAUAAAAAAUCUUUAAAAACAAAAAAAAGGAUUCUGUUUUUCUGUAAUUAAUUGUAAUUAAACUCCAAUAUAGCCACCUUGUCUUUAAGUCCUUACUUUACUGAGCAGCCAUGUGGAGGCACCUCUAGGUGUAUCCUCCCUGAGGGUCUCCCCAGGGCUGUCCCAUCCCUGCCCUGGGAAGCCCAGGCCUAUCACAGCAUAUAAGCCUCUCCUUCAUUCCUCCAUUCACUCCUCCAUUCCUCCCUUCCUUCCUUCAACAAGCAUUUUCUCAUCCUCCACUGCAUUCCAGCUAAGUGCUGGGAACACCAAGAUAAAGACAACACAGUCCCUGCCCUCAGGGGCUUGCUGGGGUAGGAAAAGGCAAAUGGAGAGUGUGGCAGUAUAUCCCCAGGUGAUAAUUUCCUCUUUUGCCAGGGUUGGGAUGGCCAGCAAUGCAAAGAAGAGGCAGAGGCAUGAACCAGUGUGGCAGUUCAGGCACUUAUAACUGUGCUGAUCUGACCCUGAUUUUUUGUAGUUUCUUUUCUUUAAGAGAAAGGAAUUUUUUUUAGAUGAAGAUAGAAAGGAUGGCAGUACCCAGACAGCACCUAAUGUGCUAUGUUAAAGUCUGGACUUCAUUGUAAGGGUUAUGGGAAACUUCUGAAGGGUUUUCAGUUAGAGAGGGUUGAUCAUUUCAGAGAGACUCCUCCAGCUGCAAGGUGAAGAAUUCCCCAGAGGAUACCAGACUAAAGGGGAGGAGACCAUUGAAAGAGCUGAGGAGCAAGAACGGGGGGAUGAGGAAAUAUAGCCUUUGCCUUCCUGGAGGAUAAUAAUCAUAAUCAUAAUCAUUGAUGUUUCAAUUAAAAUAUUAAAAUUUAUAAAGAAGCCAAGAUAGCAGAAAUAAAACAUAAAACUUCCAAGUCAGAAUUGGAAACAGAAAGUAGCAUUGUUCAUGCCAGCAAAAUCCAGGAUGAGAGACAAAAAGGAAAUAUCAAGAGAGCACAACAGGACUUCUACUUUUUGUUUAGGACUUACAAGUUUGCACAGGCCAACACUCCUGCUGCAACAACUAGAAAAACAGAAUAUUGACUACCACCACCCUUAAAAAAAAUUCAUAAUCUUAAAGUCAUUGGACAAUUUCAGAGAGGAAAGAGCUUUCUCAGAAUGAGCUGGCAAUCUCUGACUAUCUUCUCUGCUGGGGGAACUUGCCAACCUUGGGUAGCAGGGUAUAGACUGACUCCUCCAUGGUCCCAGCAUAUCCUUGGUGGAUUUUUUUCUCCCAGGUAUGGUUGCUAUCUUAGCAGUUGGGUAGUUAACCUUGCUAUCUUAGCAGUUGGGUAGUUAACCUUGCUAUCUUAGCAGUUGAGUAGUUAACCUUGCUCUCAACACCUCCCUCUCAGUAGUAAGCAAGUCAAACAGUGCGUUGGGAUAAGGUCCCUGGUAGGGGAUGGAGACCUUCCAGACCCUGAAUUCAGACAGCCUUCCCCAAACCUAUCUGAAAAGGAAUGAAAUAAAAUGCUAGAACUAUAAAAAUAACUCCUGAAAAUAGCUUACUGAUGAGCUUAACAAAAGAUUAUUAGAUACAACUGAAGAGAUAAUUAGUAAAAUAUCUAAUAUCAAGUAUAAAGUAACAAAAAAAGAUAAAAAAUACACACAAAAAGGUGUAUCCAAAAAGACAAGAUACAGUGAGAAAAUCUAAAAUAUAUUUAACUGGAGUACUAUAGAGAGUAUGGAGAGAAUAUGGCAAAGGUAAUAAACAAAAAUAAAAUGAGAAUGUCCCAGAACUAAUUAAAGAUAUCGAUUUACAGGUACAAGAAAACCUACGAAUCCCAAGUUGGAUAAAUAAAAGAAAAUUCACAUCUAGAAACAUCAUAUGAAACUACAGAAAAUUAGACAAGAAAAAAUUUAAAGCAUCUAGAGAAAGAUAGUUUUCUUCAAAGGAUCAACAGUGAGACUAGCAGCUGAGUUUUCAACUGAAAGAGUAAAAGACAGUAGGAUAGGAGGAAGGAGAACGUGGUGGCAGAGGAAGACCCUAGGCUCACUUUGUCCCACAAAUACAACUAGAUAACUAUCAAAUCAUCCUAAGUACCCCAAAGUCAACCUUAAGACUGGCAGAACAACCUCCACAAAUAAACGUAGAAAAGAGGCCGCAUCAAAGAAAGUAGGAAGAGACUCGGUUGGGAAAGAAACAGAUUGUGGCCAGUGGGAAGGGAGAUGUGGUAGUGGAGAAGGAUGAGAGGCAGACUAACAGAGGCCCACAGGGGGAAAACGAAUCCCCACAGUAACUGGCUUGGAAAGCAGAAGUGGCCAAAUUUCAUGAUUUAAAGCCUGGAGUUCUAAAAGUCAGCAUACUUGGAAAAAAAUAAAUAAAUAAAAGUCAGCAUAAUUGGCUCUGGGAGAGCUUAGAAGACAUUGGGGGUGCUCUUAGAGAGAAGGCAUGGCAACCAGCCUGCAGAUAUAGGGCAUGGAAACAGUGAUCUGAAGAGCACCUGGGACACACAGUGGGGAAAUUAGUUGUUUAUCUCAGAAUGUGUCCUAAAGGGGCAGCAUUCACAGGCCCCUCCAGGAACAAAGGAACUGGCAAGCACCAUUUCCCUCCCCUAUCCCUCAGCAUGAGCACAGGGCCUCCUGUGAGAACCGUGACACUUGCUACCUAACUUGCUUACACCAACCCCUGCCCCACCCUGUGCUCCAGUGGAACUGCCCUUUCUGAAGUCAUGCUUCCCUUAGUCCCAGUGCAUCAGGCUUCCUCCUCCACAAGAUGGGUCCAAAUUUCUGCCCAUACCACAUUUCCUGACCCAGGAGUUUUUGCAGAGCCUCAGUUCCAAGGGUGGUGGUGACAGGUAUCAUUUAACAAGCAGACCAGAGCACACCUAUAACACACCACAUUCAGGCCAGGGACCAAACACUCCCCACAACAGGCAGAGAGCCUCUGGAGAUGACUGGCCUGAAGGAUAAAGUAGUCAUGACAAAAGAGUAGAGCACACAGAGAACACACUGGAGACACUCUUGGAAGUGUCAGGCCCUGGCGAACAGGAAAUACUGCACAACAAGGCAUUAUAGACCUCUUCUUCAUAAGACCAUUACCCUCAAGAACAGAAGGUGUAGCUGAUUUUUAUAACACACAGAAACAAGCAUAGAAUCUUCUCAAAAUGAGAAGACAGAGAAAUUUGUCCCAAAUGAAAGAAUAGGACAAGGCCAUAGCCAGAGAUCUAAGCAAAAGAGAUAAAUAAUACGGCUAAUAGAGAAUUUAAAGGAAUAUUCAAAAGAAUACACAAUGAACUUGAGAAAACAAUGGAGAUAUCUAUGAGAUAAUUAACACUGAGAUAAGGAAUAACAUAGAGAUAACGUGCUCAAUAAACAAAAUGAAACACACACUUGAUGUAAUGAACAACAGGCUGGAACAAACAGAGGAAUGAAUUAAUGAACUAGAAUACAGAGUGAUGGAAAGUAAUUAAGCUGAACAAAACAGAGAAAAAAGAAUUAUGCAAAACAAGAACAGACUUAGAGAAUUCAGUGACUAUCAAACAUAACAAUUGUAUUAUAGGAGUCCUACUAGAAGAAAAGAGAAAGGAGGGCAUAAAAUUCAUUUGAAUAAAUAAUAGAUGAAAACUUCCCUAAUCUAGGGCAGGAAACAGAUAUCUGGAUCCAGAAGGCACAGAGAACCCCCAACAAAAUCAAAAAAGCAGAUCAUAUUGUCAUCAAAAUGGCAAAAUAUAGUAAUAAAGAAAAAUAUUAAAGCAGCAAUACCAAAGAAGAAAGUUACAUACAAAGGAAACCACAUCACUGGAUUUUUCAGCAGAAAGCUUCCAAAUCAGAAAGAGUGGCAUGAUAUAUUCAAAGUCAAUGGGAAAAACCUGCAACCAAGAAUACUCUAUCCAACAAGACUAGGAGGAGAGAGUUUCCCAGACAGGAGUGCCUGGGUGGCUCAGUUGGUUAAGAGUCUGAGUCUUGGGAUCCCUGGGUGGCGCAGUGGUUUGGCGCCUGCCUUUGGCCCAGGGCGCGAUCCUGGAGACCCGGGAUUGAAUCCCACAUCGGGCUCCCGGUGCAUGGAGCCUGCUUCUCCCUCUGCCUGUGUCUCUGCCUCUCUCUCUCUCUCUCUCUCUGUGACUAUCAUUAAAAAAAAAAAAA